CGGCGGCUGAGAGCCCCGGAGGGGCCCGGUGAGCGCCGCAGUCGGUCCCCCUUGUACA
RNAcentral lists this small nucleolar RNA (58 nucleotides) under Pyrobaculum ferrireducens. RNAcentral describes it as "Pyrobaculum sp. 1860 Pyrobaculum sRNA 206". It matches the Rfam family "Pyrobaculum sRNA 206". Rfam says of the family: Non canonical pseudouridylation guide sRNA features. Predicted to target 23S U1902 in Pyrobaculum. The record is from Rfam by way of RNAcentral. Lineage: Archaea; Thermoproteati; Thermoproteota; Thermoprotei; Thermoproteales; Thermoproteaceae.